Molecule: ribosomal RNA, 266 nt
Filed under: Escherichia coli
Lineage: Bacteria; Pseudomonadati; Pseudomonadota; Gammaproteobacteria; Enterobacterales; Enterobacteriaceae
Description: partial 23S ribosomal RNA
Rfam family: Bacterial large subunit ribosomal RNA
Source: RNAcentral
CGUAAUAGCUCACUGGUCGAGUCGGCCUGCGCGGAAGAUGUAACGGGGCUAAACCAUGUACCGAAGCUGCGGCAGCGACGCUUAUGCGUUGUUGGGUAGGGGAGCGUUCUGUAAGCCUGCGAAGGUGGCCUGUGAGGGUUGCUGGAGGUAUCAGAAGUGCGAAUGCUGACAUAAGUAACGAUAAAGCGGGUGAAAAGCCCGCUCGCCGGAAGACCAAGGGUUCCUGUCCAACGUUAAUCGGGGCAGGGUGAGUCGACCCCUAAGGC